RNAcentral lists this ribosomal RNA (766 nucleotides) under Bacillus sp. AD-H12. RNAcentral describes it as "bacterial SSU rRNA". It matches the Rfam family "Bacterial small subunit ribosomal RNA", at positions 47 to 796 of the family's 1533-position model. The record is from RNAcentral. Lineage: Bacteria; Bacillati; Bacillota; Bacilli; Caryophanales; Bacillaceae.
CCUAAUACAUGCAAGUCGAGCGGACAGAAGGGAGCUUGCUCCCGGAUGUUAGCGGCGGACGGGUGAGUAACACGUGGGUAACCUGCCUGUAAGACUGGGAUAACUCCGGGAAACCGGAGCUAAUACCGGAUAGUUCNUUGAACCGCAUGGUUCAAGGAUGAAAGACGGUUUCGGCUGUCACUUACAGAUGGACCCGCGGCGCAUUAGCUAGUUGGUGAGGUAACGGCUCACCAAGGCGACGAUGCGUAGCCGACCUGAGAGGGUGAUCGGCCACACUGGGACUGAGACACGGCCCAGACUCCUACGGGAGGCAGCAGUAGGGAAUCUUCCGCAAUGGACGAAAGUCUGACGGAGCAACGCCGCGUGAGUGAUGAAGGUUUUCGGAUCGUAAAGCUCUGUUGUUAGGGAAGAACAAGUGCAAGAGUAACUGCUUGCACCUUGACGGUACCUAACCAGAAAGCCACGGCUAACUACGUGCCAGCAGCCGCGGUAAUACGUAGGUGGCAAGCGUUGUCCGGAAUUAUUGGGCGUAAAGGGCUCGCAGGCGGUUUCUUAAGUCUGAUGUGAAAGCCCCCGGCUCAACCGGGGAGGGUCAUUGGAAACUGGGAAACUUGAGUGCAGAAGAGGAGAGUGGAAUUCCACGUGUAGCGGUGAAAUGCGUAGAGAUGUGGAGGAACACCAGUGGCGAAGGCGACUCUCUGGUCUGUAACUGACGCUGAGGAGCGAAAGCGUGGGGAGCGAACAGGAUUAGAUACCCUGGUAGUCC